ACGUAGGGACCGAGCGUUGUCCGGAAUCAUUGGGCGUAAAGAGCGUGUAGGCGGCCACUUAAGUCCUGCGUGAAAUCUUGCGGCUCAACCGCAAGCGGUCGUGGGAAACUGGAUGGCUAGAGUGCGGGAGAGGAAAGUGGAAUUCCACGUGUAGCGGUGAAAUGCGUAGAGAUGUGGAGGAACACCAGUGGCGAAGGCGACUUUCUGGUCUGUAACUGACGCUGAGGCGCGAAAGCGUGGGGAGCAAACAGGA
RNAcentral lists this ribosomal RNA (253 nucleotides) under uncultured prokaryote. RNAcentral describes it as "partial 16S ribosomal RNA". It matches the Rfam family "Bacterial small subunit ribosomal RNA", at positions 525 to 777 of the family's 1533-position model. The record is from RNAcentral.